UUUGGAAACAAGAAACUAGUGGAUUGAAUAUUAUAGAAACAAAAACCCUAAAGGCCAGGAGAUUGAUUAUAUAGUGGACGUGAAUCAAAGUGAAAGGGAUCCCCUAAUUAAUUUUUCGUAGGGCAGAGGAGGUUGACGGCAGAAACACAACAGCAGGCUGCGAUCAAGAGGAAAGAAAGAAAAGAAAGGAUUGGUUCGAGCUUCAAGCCGCAAUCAAGUUUCAAGUUCGGGUUGAGAUGAACUAGAGGAUUGUAAUGCGUUUGUGACAUGUUUUCGGUCCUGGUGCAAAUGGAGCGGAAAAGAGUAAUAAUUAAAUGACCAGCCAGUUGGGCAGAGUAGAAUGCCAGUGACAGAAACUAAAAUCGCCACUAUUUUCUUUGAUUGAGUCGAGCCCACUUAUCUCUAUAGUAUAAAACAUAGAGGCUUCAUAUGAAACACAUGGGCUGCCAUAUGUACUAAGCCCAGCAAAACCUUUAAAGUCAAGAUAGUGGGCCGCUAAUUUCCACAUACAAGUUCACGAAACAUCAAAUGAGGACCGUUACUUCUAUUUUUUGGGCUUUUGGAAACAAGAAACUAGUGGAUUGAAUAUUAUAGAAACAAAAACCCUAAAGGCCAGGAGAUUGAUUAUAUAGUGGACGUGAAUCAAAGUGAAAGGGAUCCCCUAAUUAAUUUUUCGUAGGGCAGAGGAGGUUGACGGCAGAAACACAACAGCAGGCUGCGAUCAAGAGGAAAGAAAGAAAAGAAAGGAUUGGUUCGAGCUUCAAGCCGCAAUCAAGUU
RNAcentral lists this long non-coding RNA (778 nucleotides) under Helianthus annuus (common sunflower). RNAcentral describes it as "sRNA HanXRQr2_Chr02g0073881". The record is from RNAcentral. Lineage: Eukaryota; Viridiplantae; Streptophyta; Magnoliopsida; Asterales; Asteraceae.